GAUGAACGCUGGCGGCGUGCCUAAUACAUGCAAGUCGAGCGAACGGACGAGAAGCUUGCUUCUCUGAUAUUAGCGGCGGACGGGUGAGUAACACCUGGAUAACCUACCGAUAAGACUGGGAUAACUUCGGGAAACCUGAUCUAAUACCGGAUGAUAUUGUGAACCGCAUGGUUCAAAAGUGAAAGACGGUCUUGCUGUCACUUAUAGAUGGAUCCUCGCUGCAUUAGCUAGUUGGUAAGGUAACGGCUUACCAAGGCAACGAUGCAUAGCCGACCUGAGAGGGUGAUCGGCCACACUGGAACUGAGACACGGUCCAGACUCCUACGGGAGGCAGCAGUAGGGAAUCUUCGGCAAUGGGCGAAAGCCUGACGCAGCCACGCCGCGUGCGUGAUGAAGGUCUUCGGAUCGUAAACCGCUGUUAUUAGGGAAGAAAACCUCUGUACGUAACCGCGCACAUCUUGACGGUACCUAAUCAGAAAGCAACGGCUAACUACGUG
Molecule: ribosomal RNA, 497 nt
Filed under: uncultured bacterium
Lineage: Bacteria
Description: partial 16S ribosomal RNA
Rfam family: Bacterial small subunit ribosomal RNA
Source: RNAcentral